RNAcentral lists this ribosomal RNA (827 nucleotides) under uncultured bacterium. RNAcentral's name for it is "bacterial SSU rRNA". It matches the Rfam family "Bacterial small subunit ribosomal RNA", at positions 51 to 870 of the family's 1533-position model. The record is from RNAcentral.
ACACAUGCAAGUCGAGGGGCAGCAUGGUCUUAGCUUGCUAAGGCCGAUGGCGACCGGCGCACGGGUGAGUAACACGUAUCCAACCUGCCGUCUACUCUUGGACAGCCUUCUGAAAGGAAGAUUAAUACAAGAUGGCAUCAUGAGUCCGCAUGUUCACAUGAUUAAAGGUAUUCCGGUAGACGAUGGGGAUGCGUUCCAUUAGAUAGUAGGCGGGGUAACGGCCCACCUAGUCUUCGAUGGAUAGGGGUUCUGAGAGGAAGGUCCCCCACAUUGGAACUGAGACACGGUCCAAACUCCUACGGGAGGCAGCAGUGAGGAAUAUUGGUCGAUGGGCGAGAGCCUGAACCAGCCAAGUAGCGUGAAGGAUGACUGCCCUAUGGGUUGUAAACUUCUUUUAUAAAGGAAUAAAGUCGGGUAUGGAUACCCGUUUGCAUGUACUUUAUGAAUAAGGAUCGGCUAACUCCGUGCCAGCAGCCGCGGUAAUACGGAGGAUCCGAGCGUUAUCCGGAUUUAUUGGGUUUAAAGGGAGCGUAGAUGGAUGUUUAAGUCAGUUGUGAAAGUUUGCGGCUCAACCGUAAAAUUGCAGUUGAUACUGGAUAUCUUGAGUGCAGUUGAGGCAGGCGGAAUUCGUGGUGUAGCGGUGAAAUGCUUAGAUAUCACGAAGAACUCCGAUUGCGAAGGCAGCCUGCUAAGCUGCAACUGACAUUGAGGCUCGAAAGUGUGGGUAUCAAACAGGAUUAGAUACCCUGGUAGUCCACACGGUAAACGAUGAAUACUCGCUGUUUGCGAUAUACUGCAAGCGGCCAAGCGAAAGCGUUAAGUAUUCC